GACGAACGCAGGCGGCGUGCCUAACACAUGCAAGUCGAACGGAGAAGUUCAGCAAUGGAUUUCUUAGUGGCGAACGGGUGAGUAACGCGUAGACAACCUGCCUCUAAGCUGGGGACAACAACUCGAAAGGGUUGCUAAUACCGAAUGUGAACAGUGCCUCGCAUGAGAUGCUGUUUGAAGGUGGCCUCUGAAUAUGCUACCGCUUAGAGAUGGGUCUGCGUCUGAUUAGCUAGUUGGAGGGGUAAUGGCCCACCAAGGCGACGAUCAGUAGCCGGUCUGAGAGGAUGAACGGGCACACUGGGACUGAGACACGGCCCAGACUCCUACGGGAGGCAGCAGUGGGGAAUCUUCCGCAAUGGACGAAAGUCUGACGGAGCAACGCCGCGUGAGUGAAGAAGGCCCUCGGGUCGUAAGGCUCUGUCUUCAGGGACGAAUGUGCAGAUUGUGGAUAAUGGUUUGUAAUGACGGUACCUGAGGAGGAAGCCACGGCUAACUACGUGCCAGCAGCCGCAGUAA
This 516-nucleotide ribosomal RNA is filed under the name uncultured bacterium. Its description in RNAcentral is "partial 16S ribosomal RNA". It matches the Rfam family "Bacterial small subunit ribosomal RNA", at positions 28 to 523 of the family's 1533-position model. The record is from RNAcentral.